Molecule: ribosomal RNA, 468 nt
Filed under: uncultured bacterium
Lineage: Bacteria
Description: partial 16S ribosomal RNA
Rfam family: Bacterial small subunit ribosomal RNA
Source: RNAcentral
GACGAACGCUGGCGGCGUGCUUAACACAUGCAAGUCGAACGGAAAGGCCCUGCUUUUGUGGGGUGCUCGAGUGGCGAACGGGCGAGUAACACGUGAGUAACCUGCCCUUGACUUUGGGAUAACUUCAGGAAACUGGGGCUAAUACCGGAUAGGAGCUCCUGCUGCAUGGUGGGGGUUGGAAAGUUUCGGCGGUUGGGGAUGGACUCGCGGCUUAUCAGCUUGUUGGUGGGGUAGUGGCUUACCAAGGCUUUGACGGGCAGCCGGCCUGAGAGGGUGACCGGCCACAUUGGGACUGAGAUACGGCCCAGACUCCUACGGGAGGCAGCAGUGGGGAAUAUUGCACAAUGGGCGGAAGCCUGAUGCAGCAACGCCGCGUGCGGGAUGACGGCCUUCGGGUUGUAAACCGCUUUCGCCUGUGACGAAGCGUGAGUGACGGUAAUGGGUAAAGAAGCACCGGCUAACUACGUG